RNAcentral lists this ribosomal RNA (207 nucleotides) under uncultured bacterium. RNAcentral describes it as "partial 16S ribosomal RNA". It matches the Rfam family "Bacterial small subunit ribosomal RNA", at positions 568 to 774 of the family's 1533-position model. The record is from RNAcentral.
AGCGCAGGCGGACCGGCAAGUUGGAAGUGAAAACCAUGGGCUCAACCCAUGAAUUGCUUUCAAAACUGCUGGCCUUGAGUAGUGCAGAGGUAGGCGGAAUUCCCGGUGUAGCGGUGGAAUGCGUAGAUAUCGGGAGGAACACCAGUGGCGAAGGCGGCCUACUGGGCACCAACUGACGCUGAGGCUCGAAAGUAUGGGUAGCAAACA